RNAcentral lists this ribosomal RNA (396 nucleotides) under uncultured bacterium. RNAcentral's name for it is "partial 16S ribosomal RNA". It matches the Rfam family "Bacterial small subunit ribosomal RNA", at positions 523 to 918 of the family's 1533-position model. The record is from RNAcentral.
AUACGGAGGACGCGAGCGUUAUCCGGAUUCAUUGGGUUUAAAGGGUGCGUAGGCCGUCGCUUAAGUCAGCGGUGAAAGCCCGGGGCUCAACCCCGGCGAGCCGUUGAAACUGGGCGGCUGGAGAGGAAGAGAGGUACGCGGAAUUCGCGGUGUAGCGGUGAAAUGCUCAGAUAUCGCGAAGAACUCCGAUUGCGAAGGCAGCGUACCGGCUUCUGUCUGACGCUGAGGCACGAAAGCGUGGGGAUCGAACAGGAUUAGAUACCCUGGUAGUCCACGCAGUAAACGAUGGAUGCUAGCUGUCCGGGGGGAUUGACCCCUGGGGGGCACAGCGAAAGCGUUAAGCAUCCCACCUGGGGAGUACGCCGGCAACGGUGAAACUCAAAUGAAUUGACGGGG